CAGAAAGUAGUUUAAACUAGAAUGCCAGCUUUGGGUGUUGGUGGUGAGGUUGAGUGCUUUCUUUCUGA
RNAcentral lists this transfer RNA (68 nucleotides) under Cercopithecus campbelli (Campbell's monkey). RNAcentral's name for it is "tRNA-Pro". Lineage: Eukaryota; Metazoa; Chordata; Mammalia; Primates; Cercopithecidae. The record is from RNAcentral.